GUCUGGAUGGAAACUGAAUGGCAGAACAUUUCAGUAAUUCGGGUCUGGGAAUUAGGGGAUCUGAUUUUCAUUCCUGCUCUACAAUAGUUUCUUCCACUGCUGAUUAAAUCAGGAAAAAAUUAAUGUAUGAAUUCCUCACAUUAAAUUUGGGCGCUUCAAAUAUGUGCCUGCAGUUGAAAGCUUACUGUAAUCUUCCUAUAGGAAUAUGAGAUUUUCAUUGGAGAGAAAGGCAUCUACAUCAGAUUGGUGAAAUUUAGAUGAAUUGAACCAGUGUCUGAAAUUCCCUUCUCUUUGCACAGACUGUUGGAUGUUAAGGUGUCUGCAUUCAUGGCCCCAGAUAAAUGCCUCAUGUUUUUAAGGCUUUCUGGAAGAAUAUCUACUUUGUUUAUGCACCAGUAUCAUCAGCAGGAUUGGCAUGGCCUUGGGGUGUUGACCAAUGUCUUGGCUCAUCGAGAUUGAUAGAUAUAAUCCAAAGAGUCUACGUUCUGGCCAUUAGCUGUCCCUGACAGCCUCAACACUUCCCUCUCAAGGAUACAACAGCAGAAGUCAACAAGAGUUCAUGCAUAAUGUAUAUAUUUGCCUCUGUUGGUUCUUGCCUCUUUAUAUUACCUGUCUGCAAAGGGUAUAACAACAUGUUAUAAAAUGUCACACUUCUGCACUGAAGUUUCC
This 669-nucleotide long non-coding RNA is filed under the name Numida meleagris (helmeted guineafowl). RNAcentral's name for it is "lncRNA (ENSNMEG00000021399.1)". Lineage: Eukaryota; Metazoa; Chordata; Aves; Galliformes; Numididae. The record is from RNAcentral.